RNAcentral lists this ribosomal RNA (459 nucleotides) under uncultured bacterium. RNAcentral's name for it is "partial 16S ribosomal RNA". It matches the Rfam family "Bacterial small subunit ribosomal RNA", at positions 338 to 795 of the family's 1533-position model. The record is from RNAcentral.
CCUACGGGUAGCAGCAGUGAGGAAUAUUGGUCAAUGGGCGGGCGCCUGAACCAGCCAAGUCGCGUGAGGGCUGACGGCCCUAUGGGUUGUAAACCUCUUUUGCCGGGGAGCAAAGUGCCGCACGUGUGCGGUUUGGAGAGUACCCGGAGAAAAAGCAUAGGCUAACUCCGUGCCAGCAGCCGCGGUAAUACGGAGGAUGCGAGCGUUAUUCGAAUUUAUUGGGUUUAAAGGGUACGUAGACGGAAGCUUAAGUCAGCGUGAAAAUUGCGGGGCUAAAACUCGUCGAGCCUUUGACACGGGGUGCAUUGAGUGGGCGAGAAGUACGCGGAAUGCGGGGUGUAGCGGUGAAAUGCAUAGAUAUCACGCAGAACUCCGAUUGCGAAGGCAGCGUACCGGCGCCCAACUGACGCUGAAGCACGAAGGCGUGGGUAUCGAACAGGAUUAGAUACCCUUGUAGUC